AUUGAACGCUGGCGGCAUGCCUUACACAUGCAAGUCGAACGGCAGCACGGGAGCUUGCUCCUGGUGGCGAGUGGCGAACGGGUGAGUAAUACAUCGGAACGUACCCUGAAGUGGGGGGAUAACGUAGCGAAAGUUACGCUAAUACCGCAUAUUCUGUGAGCAGGAAAGAGGGGGAUCGCAAGACCUCUUGCUUUAGGAGCGGCCGAUGUCGGAUUAGCUAGUUGGUGAGGUAAAGGCUCACCAAGGCGACGAUCCGUAGCGGGUCUGAGAGGAUGAUCCGCCACACUGGGACUGAGACACGGCCCAGACUCCUACGGGAGGCAGCAGUGGGGAAUUUUGGACAAUGGGCGCAAGCCUGAUCCAGCCAUGCCGCGUGAGUGAAGAAGGCCUCGGUUGUAAG
This 400-nucleotide ribosomal RNA is filed under the name uncultured bacterium. RNAcentral describes it as "bacterial SSU rRNA". It matches the Rfam family "Bacterial small subunit ribosomal RNA", at positions 30 to 429 of the family's 1533-position model. The record is from RNAcentral.